Erpetoichthys calabaricus (reedfish) is the source of this 1053-nucleotide long non-coding RNA. RefSeq lists it as uncharacterized. The transcript has 3 exons. NCBI's taxonomy places the organism in Eukaryota, Metazoa, Chordata, Cladistia, Polypteriformes, Polypteridae. The record is from RefSeq and is a predicted model, not a curated record.
GUUUGGAGUGCGUGAGUAUUUCUUGUGAUGGACUGACAACUCAUCCAAAGUUGGUUCCAGUCUAGAACCUAAUGCCGACAAAACAGCAUCAUGUGCUGGUGUGGUGGACUGAUUUUUAGCAUAUAAUUUGAUAAAUAUUUUACAUAUCUUUAUUUGUAAACUAGACAAAGCAACUGUAAUAUUAGUGUUUUAGGAGGCAUGUUUUACUUCACUGAUGAGAAGAGAGGUGCUUUGAUCCAUCCACCGCAGGAAGGCCAUAAACUGACUAAACAAGGCAACUGGGGGAUGAGUUGUACCUGAGCGCUUUCAUUGGUAACUAGUCAGCAAGGGACUGGAAAAUGAAUUCUAUUGGUCUAAAGUAUGGCUGUUUAGGAUUGGUUUUAAAACAGAAGCCAUUCUGUACUACGAUGCCCCAUUGGUUUGUGUUUUGUGGUAAAAAUGAUAUAAAGUUUGUCACCUUGCCUUUACCUCUCUAUCUCAACAUUUGGCCAUGAAGAGAAGACCAUGAUGAAGACAAUUUGGCAGCCAUAUUGAGACAGGCCUGUUUCAAUACUGCAUAAAAUAGCCAUGUGGUAGCAAAGCAACCUAGAAUGAAGAAAAGCUGACAGCUGCCUAGGGACACUUGAUGCAUUGCUACUUAGGCUGUAAGGGUAUGGUUUGCCAUUAUUUACAUAAUACUCUGCUUCCUUAAUGUUUUGGGCAUUUUUGUCUAAAAUGCAUAAUAAAUGUAUAACUUAACUCCUGCCUGAUCCAUUACUCUGUCUAACUGCCUGCUGCUGCUGAAGAAUAAGGGAAAGGGUGAGGAAGUGCUAAAGUACCUGAGUGGUCAGUGUAUGGGAUUUUACACAUUUUAUUAAAGUCUAACCAAAAAAGAGCAUAAAGGGGAAAUUAGGGACACCAUAGAAUGGAUGGGUGAGUGAUUUAGAAGGAUCCCAAUGGAGUAAUGCUCCGGAAAUGCAUUUCUCUAGCCUCUGAACCCCCCAAUUUACUGCAUUAAGACCACUGACAAAUAAAAAAACACAAGUGAUUGACCCGUUUGAAACUAAUGGUCUA